CUUCAGUGAUGAUCCGAUGACGAGUCAGAAUGGGACAGUAUCUGUUUAGAGAAUGCUGGGCCAGGGGGCACGUUCUGUGCUUCUGGCUUCUCUUUCUCAGAGCAGUGUGCUCCUUUCACUUGAAGACAUCGAGGCAUUUGUCUGAGAAGG
Electrophorus electricus (electric eel) is the source of this 150-nucleotide small nucleolar RNA. Lineage: Eukaryota; Metazoa; Chordata; Actinopteri; Gymnotiformes; Gymnotidae. The record is from RefSeq and is a predicted model, not a curated record.